Molecule: ribosomal RNA, 501 nt
Filed under: uncultured archaeon NS-TS235-278
Lineage: Archaea; Methanobacteriati; Methanobacteriota; Methanomicrobia; Methanomicrobiales
Description: bacterial SSU rRNA
Rfam family: Archaeal small subunit ribosomal RNA
Source: RNAcentral
ACGGGGCGCAGCAGGCGCGAAAACUUUACAAUGCGGGAAACCGCGAUAAGGGGAUACCGAGUGCCAGCAUAUUAUGUUGGCUGUCCACAUGUGUAAAACGGCAUGUGUUAGCAAGGGCCGGGCAAGACCGGUGCCAAGCCGCCGCGGUAACACCGGCGGCCCGAGUGGUAAUCAUUUUAUUGGGUCUAAAGGUCCGUAGCCGGUUUGAUCAGUUCUUCGGGAAAUCUGACAGCUCAACUGUUAGGCUUCCGGGGAAUACUGUCAGACUUGGGACCGGGAGAGGUAAGAGGUACUACAGGGGAAGGAGUGAAAUCUUGUAAUCCCUGUGGGACCACCAGUGGCGAAGGCGUCUUACCAGAACGGGUCCGACGGUGAGGGACGAAAGCUGGGGGCACGAACCGGAUUAGAUAUCCCGGGUAGUCCCAGCCGUAAACGAUGUUCGCUAGGUGUCAGGGACGGUGCGACCGUUUCUGGUGCCGUAGGGAAGCCGUGAAGCGAACC